UACAGAGGGUGCUAGCGUUAAUCGGAAUUACUGGGCGUAAAGGGCGUGUAGGUGGUUAAAUAAGUUGGUUGUGAAAUCCCUGGGCUUAACCUAGGAAUGGCAAUCAAUACUGUUUAACUAGAGUACGGUAGAGGGUAGUGGAAUUUCCGGUGUAGCGGUGAAAUGCGUAGAGAUCGGAAGGAACACCAGUGGCGAAGGCGGCUACCUGGACUGAUACUGACACUGAGGCGCGAGAGCGUGGGGAGCAAACAGG
RNAcentral lists this ribosomal RNA (253 nucleotides) under uncultured bacterium. Its description in RNAcentral is "partial 16S ribosomal RNA". It matches the Rfam family "Bacterial small subunit ribosomal RNA", at positions 524 to 776 of the family's 1533-position model. The record is from RNAcentral.